CCUACGGGCGGCUGCAGUCGAGAAUCUUUCGCAAUGCCCGGAAGGGUGACGAAGCGACGCCGCGUGUGGGAAGAAGGCCUUCGGGUUGUAAAUCACUGUCGGGAGUUAAGAAGUGUAAGGGGGUGAAUAGCCCUCUUACUUGACGUUAGCUCCGGAGGAAGCCACGGCUAACUCUGUGCCAGCAGCCGCGGUAAUACAGAGGUGGCAAGCGUUGUUCGGAAUUAUUGGGCGUAAAGAGCACGUAGGCGGCCCUACAAGUCAGCUGUGAAAUCCUUCUGCUCAACGGAAGAACGGCAGUUGAUACUAUAGGGCUGGAGUGCGGGAGGGGAGAGUGGAACUUCUGGUGGAGCGGUGAAAUGCGUAGAUAUCAGAAGGAACAUCGGCGGCGAAAGCGACUCUCUGGCCCGUAACUGACGCUGAGGUGCGAAAGCUAGGGGAGCAAACGGGAUUAGAUACCCUGGUAGUCC
This 467-nucleotide ribosomal RNA is filed under the name Candidatus Jettenia sp. enrichment culture. RNAcentral's name for it is "bacterial SSU rRNA". It matches the Rfam family "Bacterial small subunit ribosomal RNA", at positions 338 to 796 of the family's 1533-position model. Lineage: Bacteria; Pseudomonadati; Planctomycetota; Candidatus Brocadiia; Candidatus Brocadiales; Candidatus Brocadiaceae. The record is from RNAcentral.